RNAcentral lists this long non-coding RNA (2543 nucleotides) under Salmo salar (Atlantic salmon). Its description in RNAcentral is "lncRNA (ENSSSAG00000117325.1)". Lineage: Eukaryota; Metazoa; Chordata; Actinopteri; Salmoniformes; Salmonidae. The record is from RNAcentral.
ACACUGCUGUGCGUUUUUGUUGCCGAUCUUACUUUGAUACCUGACGGUUUUUUACUUUUUCAUUACCGUAUAUUUUUACUUUUUCCCUCACUCAACUUUUUUCAUUCAACUUUUUCACCCCGGAGGUUUUAUCUGGACAUGGUUCGUCAGGACUUCAAACAGCCGAAGCUAAGACCUGAGCCCUAGGACCAUGCCUCAGGACUACCUGGUAUGAUGACUCCUUGCUGUCCCCAGUCCACCUGGCCGUGCUGCUGCUCCAGUUUCAACUGUUCUGCCUGCGGCUAUGGAACCCUGACCUGUUCACCGGACGUGCUUGUUGCACCCUCGACAACUACUAUGAUUAUUAUUAUUUGACCAUGCUGGUCAUUUAUGAACAUUUUAACAUUUUAACAUUUUGACCAUGUUCUGUUAUAAUAUCCACCCUGCACAGCCAGAAGAGGACUGGCCACCCCUCAUAGCCUGGUUCCUCUCUAGGUUUCUUCCUAGGUUUUUGGCCUUUCUAGGGAGUUUUUCCUAGGGAGUUUUUCCUAGCCACCGUGCUUCUUUCACAUGCUUUGCUUGCUGUUUGGGGUUUUAGGCUGGGUUUCUGUACAGCACUUUGAGAAUAUCAGCUGAUGUACGAAGGGCUAUAUAAAAAUAAAUUUGAUUUGAUUUGAUUCCAUGCAGCACGGUGGAGUGUGAGAGAGGGUUUAACAACAUGAACCUCAUCACACCAAUGAGAUCUAGGAUCCAAAUUCCCCGUGCGUUUGCCUUGAUGUUCAGAAAACUCCACAGACCCCCUCUUGCGCAGUGUAACCUAGAACGAUAUGUAUUUUGUAUUUAUUAUGGAUCCCCAUUAGCUGCUGCCAAGGCAGUUUUCAAUUUUAAAAACAUUACAAUACAUUCACAGAUUUCACAACACACUGUGCCCUCAGGCCCCUACUCCACCACUACCACAUAUCUACAGUACUAAAUCUAUGUGUGUGUGUAUGUUAUCGUGUGUGUGUAUACAUGUGUCUGUGCCUAUUUUUGUGUUGCUUCACAGUCCCCGCUAUUCCAUAAGGUGUUUUUCUGUUUUUUAAAUCUAAUUUUACUGCUUGCAUCAGUUAUUGAUGUGGAAUAGAGUUCCAUGUAGUCAUGGCUCUAUGUAGUACUGUGUGCCUCCCAUAGUCUGUUCUGGACUUGGGGACUGUAAAGAGACGUUUUGUGGGGUAUGCAUGGAUGUCUGAGCUGUGAGCUUGUCGUUUAAACAGACAGCUCACUGCUUUCAACAAUACCUCUCACAAAUACAAGUAGUGAUGAAGUCAAUCUCUCCUCCACUUUGAGCCAGGAGAUUAUUAUUAAUAUUAGCUCUCUGUGUACAUCCAAGGGCCAGCCAUGCUGCCCUGUUCUGAGCCAAUUGCAAUUUUCCUAAGUCCCUCUUUGAGGCACCUGACCACACAACUGAACAGUAGUCCAGGUGUGACAAAACAAGAGCCUGUAGGACCUGCCUUGUUGAUAGUGUUAUUAAGAAGGCAGAGCAUCGCUUUAUUAUGGACAGACUUCUCCCCAUCUUAGCUACUACUGUAUUAAUAUGUUUUGACCAUGACAGUUAACAAUCCAGGGUAACUCCAAGCAGUUUAGUCAUCUCAACUUGCUCAAUUUCCACAUUAAUUAUUACAAGAUUUAGUUGAGGUUUAGGGUUUAGUGAAUGUUUUUUGUCCCAAAUGCGAUGCUUUUAGUUUUAGAAAUAUUUAGGGCUAACUUAUUCCUUGCCACCCACUCUGAAACUAACUGCAGCUCUUUGUUAAGUGUUGCAGUCAUUUAAGUCGCUGUAGUAGCUGACGUGUAUGGUGUUGAGUCAUCCGCAUACAUAAACACUCUGGCUUUAUUCAAAGUCAGUGGCAUGUCGUUAGUAAAAAUUGAAAAAAGCAAGGGGCCUAAACAGCUACCCUGGGGAAUUCCUGAUUUUACCUGGAUUAUGUUUGAGAAGCUUCCAUUAAAGAACACCCUCUGUGUUCUGUUAGACAAGUAACUCUUUAUCCACAUUAUAGCACAUUAUAUCCACAUUAAAGCCAUAACACAUACACUACCAUUCAAAAGUUUGAAGUCACUUAUAAAUGUCCUUGUUUUUUAAAGAAAAGCACAUUUUUGGUCCAUUAAAAUAACAUCAAAUUGAUCAGAAAUACAGUGUAGACAUUGUUAAUGUUGUAAAUGACUAUUGUAGCUAGAAACAGCUGAUUUAUUUAUGGAAUAUCUACAUAGGUGUACAGAGGCCCAUUAUCAGCAACCAUCACUCCUGUGUUCCAAUGGCACGUUGUGUUAGUUAAUCCAAGUUUAUCAUUUUAAAAGGCUAAUUGAGCAUUAGAAAACCCUUUUGCAAUUAUGCUAGCACAGCUGAAAACUGUUGUUCUGAUUAAAGAAGCAGUAAAACUGGCCUUCUUUAGACAGGUUGAGUAUCUGUGGCAUCAGCAUUUGUGGGUUCGAUUACAGGCUCAAAAUGGCCAGAAACAGAAAUAAAGUACUUUCUUCUGAAACUCGUCAGUCUAUUCUUGAUCUGAGAAAUGAAGGCUAUUCCAUGCGAG